Molecule: ribosomal RNA, 253 nt
Filed under: uncultured bacterium
Lineage: Bacteria
Description: partial 16S ribosomal RNA
Rfam family: Bacterial small subunit ribosomal RNA
Source: RNAcentral
UACAGAGGUCUCAAGCGUUGUUCGGAUUCAUUGGGCGUAAAGGGUGCGUAGGUGGCGCUGUAAGUCGGGUGUGAAAUUUCGGAGCUUAACUCCGAAACUGCAUUCGAUACUGCGGUGCUUGAGGACUGGAGAGGAGACUGAAAUUCAUGGUGUAGCAGUGAAAUGCGUAGAGAUCAUGAGGAAGACCAGUGGCGAAGGCGGGUCUCUGGACAGUUCCUGACACUGAGGCACGAAGGCCAGGGGAGCAAACGGG